UACGGAGGGGACUAGCGUUGUUCGGAAUUACUGGGCGUAAAGCGCACGUAGGCGGAUUUGUAAGUCAGGGGUGAAAUCCCGGGGCUCAACCUCGGAACUGCCUUUGAUACUGCAAAUCUCGAGUCCGGAAGAGGUGAGUGGAAUUCCUAGUGUAGAGGUGAAAUUCGUAGAUAUUAGGAAGAACACCAGUGGCGAAGGCGGCUCACUGGUCCGGUACUGACGCUGAGGUGCGAAAGCGUGGGGAGCGAUCCGG
RNAcentral lists this ribosomal RNA (253 nucleotides) under uncultured bacterium. RNAcentral describes it as "partial 16S ribosomal RNA". It matches the Rfam family "Bacterial small subunit ribosomal RNA", at positions 524 to 776 of the family's 1533-position model. The record is from RNAcentral.